This 447-nucleotide ribosomal RNA is filed under the name uncultured bacterium. Its description in RNAcentral is "bacterial SSU rRNA". It matches the Rfam family "Bacterial small subunit ribosomal RNA", at positions 355 to 825 of the family's 1533-position model. The record is from RNAcentral.
UGGGGAAUAUUGGACAAUGGGCGCAAGCCUGAUCCAGCCAUGCCGCGUGAGUGACGAAGGCCUUAGGGUUGUAAAGCUCUUUUGGCGGGGAAGAUAAUGACGGUACCCGCAGAAUAAGCUCCGGCUAACUUCGUGCCAGCAGCCGCGGUAAUACGAAGGGAGCUAGCGUUGUUCGGAAUCACUGGGCGUAAAGCGCACGUAGGCGGAUGUGUCAGUCAGGGGUGAAAUCCCGGAGCUCAACUUCGGAACUGCCCUUGAUACAGCACGUCUUGAGUCCGAUAGAGGUGGGUGGAAUUCCUAGUGUAGAGGUGAAAUUCGUAGAUAUUAGGAAGAACACCGGUGGCGAAGGCGGCCCACUGGAUCGGUACUGACGCUGAGGUGCGAAAGCGUGGGGAGCAAACAGGAUUAGAUACCCAGGUAGUCCCUGAGCGGGCUGGCAAGGCGCAU